This 783-nucleotide long non-coding RNA is filed under the name Lupinus angustifolius (narrow-leaved blue lupine). Its description in RNAcentral is "long non-coding RNA (LANG_LNC002437)". The record is from RNAcentral. Lineage: Eukaryota; Viridiplantae; Streptophyta; Magnoliopsida; Fabales; Fabaceae.
GGCCUCAAAAUACAAGAAUUCUAUAGAGAAGUGUUUUUUGAGAGAAGAAGUAAAGAAUGGAAGUGUAUGUUGAAUGGUGGAGGAUGGCCUCUAUUCAUUGGCAACCAGUUCACCGCCUAACCCUCUUGUUACAUGCAAGGCGCCCCAAAACCUUCUACAUGGGUUUGGUCCUUAGCCAAGUAGCUUAUUCAACUGCUUGUUGUUGACUCACCAAAGCUACUUGUGAGCUACUUGACCAGGUUAUUGUGGUCUAUUCUAAAAAGUGCUCAGAGGCCUUGUCAAGCGAGGUCAUACAUGAUGCCAUCAUUGCUUGGCGGCCAAGUCAAGUUGACAACUUGCUGCGUCCAGCCCGCCUGACUGCUUGGGUGGCACCGCUCAGCUGUAUGCUUGAGCAACUUGUCAUGCUCUAGCCAGGUGUGUGGUUCCAGACUGGGCGGUCCAGCUUGUGCCAAGCUUGAGUUGCCUACUUCAACAGGUUGGCUUGUGCCAAGCUUGAGUUUGACCGUGUCAAGCUUGUGUCUGAUCGAGUCAAGUUGGUGUCAGGUGAGUUGGGCGAUCCUGUUUGUCCACACCAGGGCUACUUAGUGAGCAUCUUCAUGUUUUUGGUCCAUGGUUUUGGCCAAGCACUUAGCUUGCCAUCUGUGCAUCAAAAGUGGCUUAUGUGGACACCUCCUUGCUUGACUAUUUUUCUGAUUUUUUCUUUUCUUUAAUUUUUCCUUAAAAACUUCACAUAAAGAUUUGGAAAAGAGGUGGACAAAAUAUACAAUUAAACUAUGAUAAUUU